AACGAACGCUGGCGGCAGGCCUAACACAUGCAAGUCGAGCGAGGACUUCGGUCCUAGCGGCGGACGGGUGAGUAACGCGUGGGAACGUGCCCUUUGCUUCGGAAUAGCCCUGGGAAACUGGGAGUAAUACCGGAUGAGCCCUUUGGGGGAAAGAUUUAUCGGCGAAGGAUCGGCCCGCGUUGGAUUAGGUAGUUGGUGGGGUAAUGGCCUACCAAGCCGACGAUCCAUAGCUGGUUUGAGAGGAUGAUCAGCCACACUGGGACUGAGACACGGCCCAGACUCCUACGGGAGGGAGCAGGGGGGAAUCUUAGACAAUGGGGGAAACCCUGAUCUAGCCAUGCCGCGUGAGCGAUGAAGGCCUUAGGGUUGUAAAGCUCUUUCAGCUGGGAAGAUAAUGACGGUACCAGCAGAAGAAGCCCCGGCUAACUCCGUG
RNAcentral lists this ribosomal RNA (433 nucleotides) under uncultured bacterium. RNAcentral's name for it is "partial 16S ribosomal RNA". It matches the Rfam family "Bacterial small subunit ribosomal RNA", at positions 29 to 507 of the family's 1533-position model. The record is from RNAcentral.